RNAcentral lists this ribosomal RNA (465 nucleotides) under uncultured bacterium. Its description in RNAcentral is "partial 16S ribosomal RNA". It matches the Rfam family "Bacterial small subunit ribosomal RNA", at positions 338 to 795 of the family's 1533-position model. The record is from RNAcentral.
CCUACGUGUGGCAGCAGUGGGGAAUAUUGCGCAAUGGGCGAAAGCCUGACGCAGCGACGCCGCGUGAGGGAUGAAGGUCUUCGGAUCGUAAACCUCUGUCAGCAGGGAAGAACGGUCACUGUGCUAAUCAGCAGUGAAUUGACGGUACCUGCAAAGGAAGCACCGGCUAACUCCGUGCCAGCAGCCGCGGUAAUACGGAGGGUGCGAGCGUUAAUCGGAAUUACUGGGCGUAAAGCGCUCGUAGGCGGUAUGUCAAGUCAAGGGUGAAAUCCCCGCGCUGAACGUGGGAACUGCCUUUGAAACUGGCAAACGAGAGUGUGUGAGAGGAGAGUGGAAUUCCAGGUGUAGGAGUGAAAUCCGUAGAUAUCUGGAGGAACAUCAGUGGCGAAGGCGACUAUCUGGCACAUAACUGACGCUGAGGAGCGAAAGCGUGGGUAGCAAACAGGAUUAGAUACCCGUGUAGUC